Molecule: transfer RNA, 53 nt
Filed under: Philodromus sp.
Lineage: Eukaryota; Metazoa; Arthropoda; Arachnida; Araneae; Philodromidae
Description: tRNA-Gly
Source: RNAcentral
AAUUAAUAAGUAUAUUUGUACAUUUGAUUUCCAAUCAAAUAGAGGAUUUAUAA